GAGUUGACGAGUAUCCGUGUUUCUUUGAUGAUACUACAUGUUUCAAUGCAAGCGAUGUAUGUGAUGGAAAAUAUGACUGUCCUAGUGGUGUAGACGAAUACAACUGUACAGGAUGUUUUGCCUGUAGUAAUACCUCGACAUGUCUGAGUGACCUUCAAGUCUGUAACUUCUAUAAUGAUUGCCCAGCAGGAGAAGAUGAAACAGAGGGUCUCUGCAACCACUCUCGAUUCAUCAAAAAUGUUGAGAUUAAGACCGGAGAGUGGGAGCUCUUUAGUGAAGAAUAUGUAUCAGAGAGGAUUCUUGAUGUUCGUGAUACACCAGCUAGUAACAUCUAUGAUUUUAUUCAUUAUGGCUUCAACUCAGAUCCUGGAACCUCACUGUAUAUGGAG
Strongylocentrotus purpuratus (purple sea urchin) is the source of this 389-nucleotide long non-coding RNA. RefSeq lists it as uncharacterized. The record is from RefSeq and is a predicted model, not a curated record. The transcript is spliced from 3 exons. NCBI's taxonomy places the organism in Eukaryota, Metazoa, Echinodermata, Echinoidea, Camarodonta, Strongylocentrotidae.